UUUCCAUAAAUGGAAGAAUGUAAAAUGUAUAUUUCCUUUAUAUUUCAGAUACCCAAGAAGAUGCGUUUGACAAAAGAGCAAAGAAUUGAAAUCAUACUGACAGCUGGAUUAGGAAGCAGUCGCAUGGUUGCAUGAAACUUUAACAGAAAACAUGGAACGAGCAUCACACACGACACUGUGGCAAAACAUAUUUGCAAGUUUCAGUAAACUGGAAAUGUUGCAGAUAAAUCACGAAGUGGUCCAAGACGUGCAGCGAUUACACAGUCUCACACAAAAAAAAGGUUGCCCAAUAUAAAAUGUUUAUUUUUUCUAUGUAUGGAAACUGAUGGCCCACCCUGCAGAUUUUAAAUUGACAGGAAGUAAGUCUCAAACUCGAGUCUUCUCACAGAAAGAGCACUUUGAGUAAAAGUGCUUCUGAUGUUCUAAGGGAACCUUACAAUUGCUGUUUAAAUUUACUCUGGUAGAUCUAUUGUUACCCUUCAAUUUCCUUAUAAAAUAGCUUCAUAGUUUAGGUGCAAUUCCUCUUAGACAUUUAAAAAUUUAUUUUAAAAAGUUGUGACUCAUAAAAUUGGAAAAAAAGAUCCAGAAUACCAAAAUUAGCCAAGAUAUGACAGUGAUUAAAUCUGAUUGACUUUUGCUGUAAAACCUUUAGCUGUUAUACUCCAUUGGUUUAGUUAGUCUGUGACGAAACAAUAGCUCUGUAAGAAAGCAUGAAGCAUGACAGAUGAUUGAGUGGAAGGACAUCUCUUUAUCUAACAAUU
Molecule: long non-coding RNA, 761 nt
Organism: Xiphophorus hellerii (green swordtail)
Lineage: Eukaryota; Metazoa; Chordata; Actinopteri; Cyprinodontiformes; Poeciliidae
Exons: 3
Source: RefSeq, a predicted model, not a curated record